This 225-nucleotide ribosomal RNA is filed under the name uncultured rumen protozoa. RNAcentral's name for it is "partial 18S ribosomal RNA". It matches the Rfam family "Eukaryotic small subunit ribosomal RNA", at positions 1317 to 1572 of the family's 1831-position model. The record is from RNAcentral.
GGUUAAUUCCGAUAACGAACGAGACCUUAACCUGCUAACUAGACUUUUUCAUUUUAUGGAUGAUGACUUCUUAGAGGGACUAUGUAUAUCAAGUACAUGGAAGUUUGAGGCAAUAACAGGUCUGUGAUGCCCUUAUAUGUCCUGGGCUGCACGCGUGCUACACUGAUGCAUACAACAAGUGCCUAGCUAGACAUAGUAUGGCAAUCUGGAAUAUGCAUCGUGAUG